RNAcentral lists this ribosomal RNA (328 nucleotides) under uncultured eukaryote. Its description in RNAcentral is "partial 18S ribosomal RNA". It matches the Rfam family "Eukaryotic small subunit ribosomal RNA", at positions 1470 to 1796 of the family's 1831-position model. The record is from RNAcentral.
CCCUUAGAUGUCCUGGGCCGCACGCGCGUUACACUGAUGCAUUCAACGAGCUUAUAACCUUGGCCGAGAGGCCUGGGCAAUCUUGUUAACGUGCAUCGUGAUAGGGAUAGAUUAUUGAAAUUAUUAAUCUUGAACGAGGAAUUCCUAGUAAACGCAGAGCAUCAAUCUGCAUUGAUUACGUCCCUGCCCUUUGUACACACCGCCCGUCGCACCUACCGAUUGGAUGGUCCGGUGAAGCCUCGGGAUUGUGGUUCUUGCCGCUUUAUUGUGGCGUGACCGCGAGAACUUGUCUAAACCUUAUCAUCUAGAGGAAGGUGAAGUCGUAACA